This is a non-coding RNA of Brassica napus (rape), 108 nucleotides long. NCBI's taxonomy places the organism in Eukaryota, Viridiplantae, Streptophyta, Magnoliopsida, Brassicales, Brassicaceae. The record is from Rfam.
AACCCAUGAUGUGGGCAUUCUCUCUGGUAUUUCCUUAUACCUUUCCCAAGCUUCAUGAAAAGGUUCAUCAGACUUCUGCUUGAAGUUGGAGAUUCUGUGCCGUAGAGC